This is a long non-coding RNA of Nerophis lumbriciformis (worm pipefish), 484 nucleotides long. RefSeq lists it as uncharacterized. The record is from RefSeq and is a predicted model, not a curated record. NCBI's taxonomy places the organism in Eukaryota, Metazoa, Chordata, Actinopteri, Syngnathiformes, Syngnathidae.
UUUAAGGCCGUCAGAGCUAUUGUUAUUUACGCAUGGCGUUCUAUUGAUUUCGGCAACCCAUCGCUACUGAACAUGCGAGCGCAUGCGCACAAACGCAAAUGUUUAAACUCUUCCUUGAACAAAAUACCCAUGGAAAACAGCAGCUCCCUCGUGUAGACUCCUCAUACUCCACAACCACUCUAUGGUAGGAGGCCACGGGGAAGACCCAGGACACGUUGGGAAGACCAUGUCUCCCAGCUGGCUUGGGAACGCCUCGAGAUCCCCCGGCAGGAGCUGGACGAAGUGGCUGGGGAGAGGGAAGUCUGGGCUUUGCUACUUAGGCUGCUGCCCCCGCGACCCAACCUCGGAUAAGCGGAAGAUGAUGGAUGGAUAUAUUGAAUGUGUUGGUUUUUCUUUAUUAAAAGAAAAUAAUUUCAUCUUUAAAAAAAGUAUAAAACCAAAGUAAGGUUUUUACAUGUGUUUUAUAAAACUGGUUUCCACCAAA